RNAcentral lists this ribosomal RNA (460 nucleotides) under uncultured bacterium. RNAcentral describes it as "partial 16S ribosomal RNA". It matches the Rfam family "Bacterial small subunit ribosomal RNA", at positions 338 to 795 of the family's 1533-position model. The record is from RNAcentral.
CCUACGGGUGGCAGCAGUGAGGAAUAUUGGUCAAUGGGCGGAAGCCUGAACCAGCCAAGUAGCGUGCAGGAUGACGGCCCUACGGGUUGUAAACUGCUUUUAUACGGGAAUAACGCGCCUUACGUGUAGGGCUUUGCAUGUACCGUAUUAAUCAGGACCGGCUAAUUCCUGUCAAGCAGCCGCGGUAAUACGGAAGGUCCGGGCGUUAUCCGGAUUUCUUGUGUUUAAAGGGAGCAUAGGCCGCAUUUCAAGCGUGCUGUGAAAUUUCCGGGCUCAACCCGGGCCUUGCAGCGCGAACCGGCGUGAUUGAGGUCGCGGAAAGCAGGCGGAAUUCGUCGUGUAGCGGUGAAAUGCUUAGAUAUGACGAAGAACCCCGAUUGCGAAGGCAGCUUGCUGCAGCGGAACUGACGCUGAUGCUCGAAAGCGCGGGUAUCGAACAGGAUUAGAUACCCCAGUAGUC